This 423-nucleotide ribosomal RNA is filed under the name uncultured bacterium. Its description in RNAcentral is "bacterial SSU rRNA". It matches the Rfam family "Bacterial small subunit ribosomal RNA", at positions 356 to 776 of the family's 1533-position model. The record is from RNAcentral.
AGGGAAUAUUGGGCAAUGGCCGAGAGGCUGACCCAGCCAUGCCGCGUGCAGGAAGAAGGCCUUAUGGGUUGUAAACUGCUUUUAGCCGGGGCUAACGCUCUCCUUGCGAGGGGAGGUGAAGGUACCGGCGGAAUAAGGAUCGGCUAACUCCGUGCCAGCAGCCGCGGUAAUACGGAGGAUCCGAGCGUUAUCCGGAUUCAUUGGGUUUAAAGGGUGCGCAGGCGGGGCUUUAAGUCCGCGGUGAAAGGCAUGGGCUCAACCCGUGCACUGCCAUGGAUACUGGAGUCCUAGAUCAUGGACGGCGUGGGCGGAAUAUGUCAAGUAGCGGUGAAAUGCGUAGAUAUGACAUAGAACACCGAUCGGGAAGCCAGCUUACGAAACUACGAAUGACGCUCAUGCACGAAAGCGUGGGGAUCAAACAGG